RNAcentral lists this transfer RNA (73 nucleotides) under Granulibacter bethesdensis CGDNIH1. It matches the Rfam family "tRNA". From Rfam's summary of the family: Transfer RNA (tRNA) molecules are approximately 80 nucleotides in length. Their secondary structure includes four short double-helical elements and three loops (D, anti-codon, and T loops). Lineage: Bacteria; Pseudomonadati; Pseudomonadota; Alphaproteobacteria; Acetobacterales; Acetobacteraceae. The record is from Rfam by way of RNAcentral.
UCCCGGAUAGCUCAGUUGGUAGAGCAAGCGGCUGUUAACCGCUGGGUCGUAGGUUCGAGUCCUACUCCGGGAG